Molecule: ribosomal RNA, 580 nt
Filed under: Bacillus thuringiensis
Lineage: Bacteria; Bacillati; Bacillota; Bacilli; Caryophanales; Bacillaceae
Description: bacterial SSU rRNA
Rfam family: Bacterial small subunit ribosomal RNA
Source: RNAcentral
UGGUUCGAAAUUGAAAGGCGGCUUCGGCUGUCACUUAUGGAUGGACCCGCGUCGCAUUAGCUAGUUGGUGAGGUAACGGCUCACCAAGGCAACGAUGCGUAGCCGACCUGAGAGGGUGAUCGGCCACACUGGGACUGAGACACGGCCCAGACUCCUACGGGAGGCAGCAGUAGGGAAUCUUCCGCAAUGGACGAAAGUCUGACGGAGCAACGCCGCGUGAGUGAUGAAGGCUUUCGGGUCGUAAAACUCUGUUGUUAGGGAAGAACAAGUGCUAGUUGAAUAAGCUGGCACCUUGACGGUACCUAACCAGAAAGCCACGGCUAACUACGUGCCAGCAGCCGCGGUAAUACGUAGGUGGCAAGCGUUAUCCGGAAUUAUUGGGCGUAAAGCGCGCGCAGGUGGUUUCUUAAGUCUGAUGUGAAAGCCCACGGCUCAACCGUGGAGGGUCAUUGGAAACUGGGAGACUUGAGUGCAGAAGAGGAAAGUGGAAUUCCAUGUGUAGCGGUGAAAUGCGUAGAGAUAUGGAGGAACACCAGUGGCGAAGGCGACUUUCUGGUCUGUAACUGACACUGAGGCGCGA